UAUGACAAAUACUUUUUAUUUGGAUUCUUAGGUGAAAAUUUGCCAUUUCGUGGAAAUGCCUAAUAAUGAGUAAUUGGUUCGAGUGUUAGUGAGUUAUGGGUUCGAGUUUUACGAAGCGUAGGUGUGCUAGUGUCAUAUGAAAAGGAAGUAACUAUGGUAGAGAGUGAGUAAAAGCACAGCAGAAAGUGAAGAACUUAAAAAAGAAAGCUAUAGAGUGCUAGAAGAGAGUGCGAGUAGCUGUAGUUGACGAAAUAUCAAGAGAUAAUGAGUAACAGACCCGAGUAUAUAAUUUCCGAGAGCAAAAAAAAUUCUUUCUGAGAUGAAACUCUUUGAAAACUUUGAAGACGGUAAGAAGAGAAGGCGAAUGAAUUUUCAAGCGUUGUAAAUGGCUUGCGUGGAUUUAAAAAAUCAGUUGAGAGUGAAUGCAAUGCUUCUGUAUUUCUCCCACUACAAUAGGGUCUAAUAGAAACGAAGCCGGAUUUUUAUACGAACAAGAACUGUCAACUCGGCAGCAUGCCUCGAAUUAUUCAGGCAACGUUCCCACGACAGUCGGCUCUACGUAAUCGGCAGGGACCCGGGUUUUUACCAUUUUUAUCCAGCCAACGAUUGUCAUAACAGCAGCAUGCCCAAAUCAGUUCAGUGAUGUUUUUGCUGCUACAAACACAACAAUUUUUUUCUCUAAAGCAAACCGAAAUAGUUACCAAAAGUUAUAUUCUUAGCCUGCUAUUUCUUACUUUUCAAACAUUAUUAACAUAUAAUUAUAAAUUCUCAACAAAAAUAAAAAUAUAUACAA
Molecule: long non-coding RNA, 793 nt
Organism: Bactrocera latifrons
Lineage: Eukaryota; Metazoa; Arthropoda; Insecta; Diptera; Tephritidae
Exons: 3
Source: RefSeq, a predicted model, not a curated record